RNAcentral lists this ribosomal RNA (275 nucleotides) under uncultured bacterium. RNAcentral describes it as "partial 16S ribosomal RNA". It matches the Rfam family "Bacterial small subunit ribosomal RNA", at positions 79 to 353 of the family's 1533-position model. The record is from RNAcentral.
CUAAGUUUGAUGGCGACCGGCGCACGGGUGAGUAACACGUAUCCAACCUGCCGAUGACUCGGGGAUAGCCUUUCGAAAGAAAGAUUAAUACCCGAUGGCAUAGUUCUUCCGCAUGGUUUGAUUAUUAAAGAAUUUCGGUUAUCGAUGGGGAUGCGUUCCAUUAGGCAGUUGGUGGGGUAACGGCCCACCAAACCUUCGAUGGAUAGGGGUUCUGAGAGGAAGGUCCCCCACAUUGGAACUGAGACACGGUCCAAACUCCUACGGGAGGCAGCAUG